GGGCGUGGCUAAUGGUGGCGUAAUUAAAUCGCUCUGCUUAAUUGAAGUGAUUCGUUUGUAACCGAGCAGCAGCCAAAAUAUCAGACUGUUUUCCUGUACAUAAACAUAAAGAUGGAGAAAAUGUGAAAAGAGAGGGAGUGAGAGAGAGAGAGAGAGAGAGAGAGAGAGAGAAAGAAAGAAAGAAAGAAAGAAAGAAAGAAAGAAAGAGGACAGCGUAAAGUUCUCAGGAUUAGUUCACUUGUAUUAUUUAUUUUUAUUUCUAUUUCUAACUUCCGGUCCUGGUGCUGCCUCGUCUCCGUCCUCCACACUGAACUGAACUCGAACAGGAUUUAAACGGCAGUAUUCGGUGAGAGAAAAGUGCGGAUGUUGAUCAGAUGAGUCUUGUUGGCGGAUCCCGAGGAGCGGCGCAGCUUCAUGGACAUGCGGCUCUUGCUGGCUCGAGGAGAGAUGGGAGAUGAUGCAUCACCGGCGUCCAGCGGCACACUCGGGUUCUCACACGCCGGGUUCUCCAGGAAGGAACCUGGGAAACACAGCCAUGACAGCGUGAGAGUGAUUCGGCUGCGGUUAUGAGAAUUACAGCACGGCAGUAGGUCACGAUACUGUUAUUUCUAAACUGACCUCUGCACUGAGUUUAUUACAGCGUAGAGGAAAAAUUACCCACUGCUCCUUUAAAUCCCCUCACCCAGGUGUGGGCCGGAAGUGAGUGUGUGUGAGAAUGUGAGUAAGAGAAAGCGAGUGCAUGUGAGUGCGCGUGCAUCUGGGAGAGUUGAGUGUAAGCUUAUGUGGGUGAGAGUGUAUGUGUGCACGUGAGAGACAAGUGUGAGCGAGUGUGUAGAAAACCUGAUGAUAAAUAAAGAUAAAGGAAAAUGUUUAAAGAAAAAAACGUAAUGAGUGGGUGAGGAAAAUAUUAUUAUUAUUAUUAAGUAUGAGGAGCAGCUACUGUACUCACUGCAUGAGUUUUACUUCAGGCUGAAACACACACACAAGCUGGAGUUAAACACUGUGUUGUGAUGAAAGUGAGUCCAUGCGACACACCAGAUGUGGAUUAGAAGAACAGCAGGCAGAGGUGUGUGUGUGUGUGUGGGUGUUGGGGGGAUGAGUUAGUGUAAUGUUACACAUGCAUGAGACGAGCUGAACUGAGCAUUACACACCUCCACGAACAGGUCGUGUGUGAGAAAUGAGGGAAAGAGGUGCAAACAAAACAGACGGCAGGCAAAGUGACUAAAGAAACAGGAGCAGCAUGCGUGUGUGUGUGUGUCGCAGUCUUACCUUUAGACACACAUGAGUGUAUGAUUAUCAUCUAAAGAAGAAACACAACAGAAGAGCAAAAAAAUGGAAGAAAAAUGAAAACAAAAAGCAGAAUAAUGCUCAUUUGGGGUUUAGAUAUGUUCAGGAUGCUGGACCUGUACGAUACACUCAGUGUGUGAGGAUUAAAUACUGAACUUACACGCACGCACCAGAAUUCACGAGUUGGGGGCGGAGUCUGCCUGAACGAGAGGCGUGUCUCAGUGAGACACUAUCAACUGCUCCUGAGUCAGAGCCUGAUAUAAAUCAAUUAAACCAACAGUCUGCGCUGGAUCAAGUGCUAUUCUCCGUGCUGCUGAAUAACCAGGGUGGAAGUGGUGUGUUUAAUUAAUUUAAUUUAAUUAAAGACAUCAUUACAGCUAGAGCUAUUAAUUUAUCAGUGAAAUGCGAGACAUGCUGCAUCACAGGGCGG
Molecule: long non-coding RNA, 1717 nt
Organism: Ictalurus punctatus (channel catfish)
Lineage: Eukaryota; Metazoa; Chordata; Actinopteri; Siluriformes; Ictaluridae
Exons: 3
Source: RefSeq, a predicted model, not a curated record